This is a non-coding RNA of Acanthosepion pharaonis, 111 nucleotides long. Lineage: Eukaryota; Metazoa; Mollusca; Cephalopoda; Sepiida; Sepiidae. The record is from the annotation of a GenBank genome assembly.
UUAUGGCCAUAUCACGUUGUAAAACCGGUUCCCCUACAAUCACCGGUUAAACAACGUGGAGCCUGGUCAGUAACUAGAUGGGUGACCGUCUGGGAAUACCAGGUACUGUAA